RNAcentral lists this ribosomal RNA (253 nucleotides) under uncultured bacterium. RNAcentral's name for it is "partial 16S ribosomal RNA". It matches the Rfam family "Bacterial small subunit ribosomal RNA", at positions 524 to 776 of the family's 1533-position model. RNAcentral also lists the same sequence under 1 other name. The record is from RNAcentral.
UACAGAGGUUGCAAGCGUUGUUCGGAUUUACUGGGCGUAAAGCGUGCGUAGGCGGUAUUGAGAGUCGCGGGUGAAAUCCCAGGGCUUAACCCUGGAACUGCCUGCGAGACCUCAGUACUAGAGUAUGAGAGGGGUUGGUGGAAUUCCCAGUGUAGCGGUGAAAUGCGUAGAGAUUGGGAGGAACACCGGUGGCGAAGGCGGCCAACUGGCUCAUAACUGACGCUCAGGCACGAAAGCGUGGGGAGCAAACAGG